RNAcentral lists this ribosomal RNA (429 nucleotides) under Chloroflexota bacterium. Its description in RNAcentral is "Chloroflexi bacterium partial 16S ribosomal RNA". It matches the Rfam family "Bacterial small subunit ribosomal RNA", at positions 355 to 776 of the family's 1533-position model. Lineage: Bacteria; Bacillati; Chloroflexota. The record is from RNAcentral.
UGGGGAAUAUUGCACAAUGGGUGCAAGCCUGAUGCAGCCAUGCCGCGUGUAUGAAGAAGGCCUUCGGGUUGUAAAGUACUUUCAGCGGGGAGGAAGGGAGUAAAGUUAAUACCUUUGCUCAUUGACGUUACCCGCAGAAGAAGCACCGGCUAACUCCGUGCCAGCAGCCGCGGUAAUACGGAGGGUGCAAGCGUUAAUCGGAAUUACUGGGCGUAAAGCGCACGCAGGCGGUUUGUUAAGUCAGAUGUGAAAUCCCCGGGCUCAACCUGGGAACUGCAUCUGAUACUGGCAAGCUUGAGUCUCGUAGAGGGGUGUAGAAUUCCAGGUGUAGCGGUGAAAUGCGUAGAGAUCUGGAGGAAUACCGGUGGCGAAGGCGGCCCCCUGGACGAAGACUGACGCUCAGGUGCGAAAGCGUGGGGAGCAAACAGG